RNAcentral lists this ribosomal RNA (443 nucleotides) under uncultured bacterium. RNAcentral's name for it is "partial 16S ribosomal RNA". It matches the Rfam family "Bacterial small subunit ribosomal RNA", at positions 338 to 795 of the family's 1533-position model. The record is from RNAcentral.
CCUACGGGUGGCAGCAGUGGGGAAUAUUGGGCAAUGGGCGCAAGCCUGACCCAGCAACGCCGCGUGAAGGAAGAAGGCCCUCGGGUUGUAAACUUCUUUUUACAGGGACGAAGAAAGUGACGGUACCUGUUGAAUAAGCCACGGAUAACUACGUGCCAGCAGCCGCGGUAAUACGUAGGUGGCAAGCGUUCUCCGGAUGUACUGGGUGUAAAGGGGGUGUAGGCGGGAUAGCAAGUCAGACGUGAAAUUCCAGGGCUCAACCCGGGAACUGCGUUUGAAACUGGUCUUCUUGAGUGCAGGGGAGGCAGGCGGAAUUCCGUGUGUAGCGGUGAAAUGCGUAGAGAUAAGGAGGAACACCAGUGGCGAAGGCGGCCUGCUGGACAGUAACUGACGCUGAGGCGCGAAAGCGUGGGGAGCAAACAGGAUUAGAUACCCGAGUAGUC